UACAGAGGGUGCAAGCGUUGUUCGGAAUUAUUGGGCGUAAAGCGCGUGUAGGCGGCUUUGCAAGUCGGGUGUGAAAGCCCUCAGCUCAACUGAGGAAGUGCGCCCGAAACUGCAGAGCUUGAGUACCGGAGAGGGUGGCGGAAUUCCCCAAGUAGAGGUGAAAUUCGUAGAUAUGGGGAGGAACACCGGUGGCGAAGACGGCCACCUGGACGGAUACUGACGCUGAGACGCGAAAGCGUGGGUAGCAAACAGG
Molecule: ribosomal RNA, 253 nt
Filed under: uncultured bacterium
Lineage: Bacteria
Description: partial 16S ribosomal RNA
Rfam family: Bacterial small subunit ribosomal RNA
Source: RNAcentral